Long non-coding RNA from Pongo pygmaeus (Bornean orangutan), 1022 nucleotides. RefSeq lists it as uncharacterized. The record is from RefSeq and is a predicted model, not a curated record. Lineage: Eukaryota; Metazoa; Chordata; Mammalia; Primates; Hominidae. The transcript has 3 exons.
UUAUAUACUUUUUUUGCUCUCGGAUGAGGAAACUGAGGCUUACAGUGGUGAAACAGCUAAGGCUCAGUGAAAACUCUCAGCCUUCAGACAGUCCCCAGGCCUGAUGGCACAGGACAGAUAAACCUAUAAGUGGUCCCUCUGCUGAAGUACCAGGUAGGGAGAAGAGUGAAGCUGGGGGGUUGGGGACAUUCAGUUUUCUCAGUAAUCCAAAGUUGUCCUGAAAGUGACCAGGCAGCAUUCCUGUCCUGAGUGAUUCUGCAACCCUGCCUUGCUGCCAAGUCAGCACUCAGCUCCAUACACCAGGCUGUUCUCCUUGCCUCCCAGGGAAUUACUACAAAGAAUGCACCUAAGUGCUGAGAAGGCAAGCUGUGGUGGGGCAAUCCGAGGAGGGCGGCGCCCUCCAGGAAGACUUCCGGGAGGAGCACCUUUACCAGGGGAAGAUAUUGUCAUGGCAAUGGGAGGUGAUGGAAUCCUGCCAGAUUGCCCAGGCUGGUCUCGAACUCCCGGACUCAAACUAUUCCCCUGCCUCAGCCUCCCAAAGUGCUAGGAUUACAGGCGUGAGACACUGUGCCCGGCCCAGGACAGGUCUCCUGGGAAACUGAAGCUCACAGGAGUGAUGUCACUUGCACAAAAUCACGUGGAGAUGCCUUCAAACCCAGGUGUGACUACAGCCAGUUUGGCAGACGGUCACCAGAUACCACCACACCCAAGUACUGCAGGGCAGCUUGGUGCCUCCCGAAUCAGACUUUCCAGCCAUGGAGGGGGCAGUGGCUGCACCCUCCUUUCUCCCAUGCCAAGGCCCUCCCCACAACCACUCUGCUCCAGGCUGCUGCUGAGACCUGCAGGGAGACUGACAGACGCCGUCAGCCAGCAGGCUUACAAAACUCACAUGCUGUGCCGCCUGAUGCAGGCCCUCUGGCUGCAGCUGGAGAGAUCAGAUUGUCUAGUUCAAUCCUCUGGGCCCAGAGAAGGCAAAGGACUUGUCCAAGGUUACACAACCAAUAAAAGGCCUCCCUGCCUGU